UACGAAGGGGGCUAGCGUUGCUCGGAAUCACUGGGCGUAAAGGGCGCGUAGGCGGCCGGCCAAGUCGGGGGUGAAAGCCUGUGGCUCAACCACGAGAAUGGCCCUCGAUGACUGGACGGCUCGAAGACCGGGAAGAGGUUGGUGGAAUUGCGAGGUGUAGAGGUAGAAAUUCGUAGAUAUUACGCAAGAACACCGGUGGCGAAGGCGGCCGAAACUGGUCCCGGUA
RNAcentral lists this ribosomal RNA (226 nucleotides) under uncultured bacterium. Its description in RNAcentral is "partial 16S ribosomal RNA". It matches the Rfam family "Bacterial small subunit ribosomal RNA", at positions 524 to 742 of the family's 1533-position model. The record is from RNAcentral.